UGAUUUUCUUUUGUUUGCCUGGCCCUGAAUCUUUAAGAACUGUGAUAAAUUAAGGACUCCAGGAGAAAUGAUACAUAUCCAGUGUCUGAGAUGUAAUCAGAAGAAGAGUAUUUUGUUUUCUAAACAUAUUAAUUAAAAUAACCAAGUGUGUGUCUUCACAGGAAGAUAAUUCAGAGGACCUGUUAAAGGAAGUCUCUCUGCCUCCAUGUCUCUGUACUCAUUGUGCAUCUGUAAAUGGCUGCCAUCCAACAAAGCUCUUAAGUGCAUGCUCAGCUCCAGCACAGCUUGGCUACAGCAAUGUUGCUAGCUUUGGCAUGUUUGGGGCAUUCACAUGCUUGGUGAGAGGCACAUGCUUGUGUGCCCUUCUGAAUAACUAACUCUUCCUUGUGUCCUACAGGCCUGUGGCCAGGAGUGUGGGUCCCGUGUCCAGCUCCCGUAGAAAGUAAAGAUAGCAAUAGGGUUACACUUCAGCUACAGCUCCGGGGUUUUUAUCCUUAUCUUGGACAUCACUGGAAUGCAGAGCUGAGUCCAUCUCUGGCACUGGAAAACCUGUUUCCCUUUCUUCAUCAGCUUUCCCCACCUUCAAGUCUUUGUUUCAACAGUUCCAGAGCUUUGUACCAUAGCGGAAGACUCACAGGAGGCAGAUAUUCCUAAUGAGGGAAUGUUUUGCUGUUUUGCAAAUCCUAUAUGAGUUCUUUUGCUUUGGAGAGGUAAGUUCAAUCCUCAUUUUUACCCAGACCACAAUGAAGGCUCUGUACCUUGUUCUGUUGACUGGAUGCGAGAAGAGGACUAGUUCAUGGCUCUGGGAUGAACAGGAUGAGCAGAGUUUGAGAACAGCUUUUCUAUUCCCUGUUCCAGAUUGAAGGUGCUGUGACUCACUUUUCCUAAUGCAUCUGGA
This is a long non-coding RNA of Cyanistes caeruleus (blue tit), 898 nucleotides long. RefSeq lists it as uncharacterized. The record is from RefSeq and is a predicted model, not a curated record. Lineage: Eukaryota; Metazoa; Chordata; Aves; Passeriformes; Paridae.